UGGGGAAUCUUGCACAAUGGGGGCAACCCUGAUGCAGCGACGCCGCGUGAGCGAUGAAGCCCUUCGGGGCGUAAAGCUCUUUCGACCGGAACGAUAAUGACGGUACCGGGAGAAGAAGCUGCGGCUAACUACGUGCCAGCAGCCGCGGUAAUACGUAGGCAGCAAGCGUUGUUCGGAGUUACUGGGCGUAAAGAGUGCGUAGGCGGUUUUCUAAGUUCGGUGUGAAAUCUCCCGGCUUAACUGGGAGGGUGCGCCGAAGACUGGGAAGCUGGAGUGUGGGAAAGGCAGGCGGAAUUCCUGGUGUAGCGGUGAAAUGCGUAGAUAUCAGGAGGAACACCUGCGGUGUAGACAGCUUUCUGGACCAAAACUGACGCUGAGGCACGAAAGCGUGGGUAGCAAACA
This 402-nucleotide ribosomal RNA is filed under the name uncultured bacterium. RNAcentral's name for it is "bacterial SSU rRNA". It matches the Rfam family "Bacterial small subunit ribosomal RNA", at positions 355 to 774 of the family's 1533-position model. The record is from RNAcentral.